UGCAUAAUAUGAUGAAUAUGAUGAUGUGGAGGGACCAAGGCGACCCCAAUAGCCCUAGAGAUGUUGUAAGACCUGGCCGGGCUGGGCAUACAGAUGUUGUAAGACCUGGCCGGGCCGGGCAUACAGAUGUUGUAAGACCUGGCCGGGCCAGGCAUACUGAGGUUAUAAGACCUGGCUGGGCCAGGCAUACUGACACUAGAGGGAGUUUUGG
RNAcentral lists this long non-coding RNA (211 nucleotides) under Manihot esculenta (cassava). RNAcentral's name for it is "long non-coding RNA (MESC_LNC004075)". Lineage: Eukaryota; Viridiplantae; Streptophyta; Magnoliopsida; Malpighiales; Euphorbiaceae. The record is from RNAcentral.